GGCUGUCAGUCAAAGGUGUUCUCUUUUCACUGGAGUUAGUAGAAUAUGUGUCUGGAGUCACUGAUGCCAUUGUUGCCACCAAAACGGGAAAGCCUGACUGAGGAUGAAGCCCAUGGAGACUAAAGUAGAGCCAAUAAAGAACAGAUUCCUGACAUCAUUUCUGCACUUGGAUACAGCUGUACCUAAAGCCAGAUCCUUUUACCUUUCAGUUACCUAAGCCAAUAAAUUAGUCCUGACUAAUGCACAUGUCAUGACUUAGAUUAUCCGGAACCUUCUCAGUUUAUUCUUUUACCCCCUCCUGCUAAAAAUGAUUAUUUAUUACUAAAAUAAAAAGAAUAAAAAACAGGGAAGGAGGAGGAAGAAGAGGAAAGCAAUCAACAAUUUUGCUUUCAUCUAGGCCUGCAGACUGACCACAUAGGACAGAACUCUUGAGGAUUUGGGAAUUAAAAAAAAGUUUAUCAGACUUCUGAUCCCAAUAAGUUAAAAAAUGACCUAACUUAGAAGACAGACGUUUAAGCAUGCGAUGUAUAUAAAACCCAGAACUUUAAAAAAUCUAAAUGAGAAAAGUAUAAGGGUGAGUUCUUACAUUGUUUCUAAAAUGACCAGGGAGUAAAUUUCAGUAUAUUUCUUGUGUAAAGUUGAAACUCUUAAGGGAAAUGAUAGAAAUUUACUAAUCAAAAUACCUGAGACUCAAAAACCUUACAGGAACCAAAAGGCUGUGAUGAUGAAAAAUGACACAAUAACUUUCACAUUUCAUUUCAGCAAAAUUCUCUGCUGCUGAAAGAGAAUGCAUUUCACAAAAUUCCCUUCCAUUCCCAUGAAUCUGGCAUGUCCAUCAUGGCCAGUCUAAACACUGGAUCCAGUGGAAAAUCCUCUCCAGCCAGAAGUAGUCGCUUUCUCUAAAAAUUUCACAGUGCUUUCUCUCCUUCUCUCUUUUGUGUUUUUACUCCACAUUGUGUUUUAUGUAUGUCAGUGUACUUGUGUUAUAUCCUUCACUGGAUGGCAAAUCAUUUGAAGACAGAGUUCAGAAUUAAAAGCACUUAGUGCAAUGUUUCCCACAUAAUAGCUGCUCAAUACAUCCUUGUUUGUGAUGCAUUCCUUCUGAAAUUUAUAAUGUUUUCUACUAGAAAGGACUGAUGGUACUACGUAUAUGAUGCAUAAAUACCCAGACACAAACGGAAAGAUUCAGAUAGACAUUUAACUGUUUUACUGACACAACAUUUGGAUAUCUGAAGACAUCUACUAAAUUUUUCAGUUUUCAUCCAGAUGUUUGGUGUCAUGGACACCCAGAUUUCAGAUUUAAAUUAGUUGGGCUUUUGUUUUUGUUUUUUUUUUUUUUAAUGCCAUGUGCAUAUCUGGGAUGAAGAAAACAUGGCUAUUUCAGGAGAUUCAUUUCCAUUUGAUUUCACAUAGAGGUAAAUAGAUUGAAUAAUAAUAAUAAUGUUUAAAGUCAGAAACUGUUUGAGAGAUUUUUAAUAAUAGCCAGACCCUAAGAGGUGAACCAUGGUUGAUAUUUAGAGCCAUGGUAGGACGGUCUCAUUAAAAAGACCAAAAAAAGAAAACCACUCACCGUCCUGUAGAUGAGCUAAAAGAAUACUGAAUGAGCCUGCUGGAUUAUGAUUCAGAGAUUUUAGGAACAGUUUUUAAAUUUAUUAUUAUCAAGAUACAGAUAAAAUAAAACAGUGAAGAAGGAAUUUCUUACGAAACCAAAGUUAACGACAGAAAGACAAAAUAACCUAAGAGUCUUGGGACAAAGAAGGAACAUUUUUUGCAUCUUCAAGAAAUGUUACAUACACAUAUUCUAAUGGUAUGGAGGGAGUUCAUAUGAGCAUGAAAUUACGUGAAGGUUAAAUGCCACCAACACCCAUACUACUUCUAAACUUCCAAAAAGACAUAAAAAAGUAUCAGAAAAACAUAUUAUAAGACAUUUGCAGGUAGGAGUCAGAGUUUUAAGCACAAUGAAUAUCAUCAUUUUUCUAUUGAUGGAGAUUUUAAAGCUGUGCGCAGUCUUAUUUUGAAAAUAACGGAAAUAUGUUCCUAAGGCUAGAGAAAGAUAAUUUUUAUUUAACAUUUGUUAGGACGCUCCCAUGAGCUGCUUGGCCAUGCGUAUUACACUGCCUACAUGGCUGAUGGGCAAUCUUACCAAAUGAGCCAAAGGCCACAAAUAAGGCCUUGACUCAUUUAACGAUCAUUUCACAUUUCCACACUAUGACCAAAUUAAUAUUUUAUGGGACUACUCAGUUCUAUAGCCAGACCACUUUUCCAAAAAAUUGAAUUUUGUGCUUAUUUAUUUUAUGGAUCAUUUGUUGAAAUAGAUUUCGAAACAGGUUUAGGCUAUUUAGAUUUUUCAGUGAACUGCAAAAGAAAAACAGACUCACAGUUUUAGAAACUAGAAAGGACAGGAGAGUCACCUCAUUCAAACCUUCUUAUUUUGUGUCUAACAAAACUGAGGUCAACUGAGGAGAAGGGGCCUGCCUAAACCUUGUUGUUGGCCUGGCCUCCUGCUUUUUUAAGAUGUUUCCCUAGCAAGAAGAAAUUUCAUGCUUACAUAAUGUCAAAGAACAUUUUAUUUCUAAACAUUUUUUUAAUGAUUAUUAAUUUUUGAAAGAGUGCACGCGCACACCCAUGCACACACACACAGACACACACACACACAGACACACACACACACAGACACACGUGUGCACAAGUAGGGGAGGGACAGGGACAGAGGGAGACAUAGUAUCCAAAGCAGGCCCCAGACUCUAAGCUGUCAGCACAGAGCCCAACGCAAGGCUCAAACUCAUGAACUGUGAGAUCAUGACCUGAGCCAACGUCAGAGGCGUAACAGACUGAGCCACCCAGGUGCCCCUGGGACAUCUUAUUUCUACCUAUGAAUUGUAGAUACCAAUAGCCAGAUUUUAUACUGUAAGCUACUUAACACCCAUAUUCUGUAUGUUUGCAUAUCACCCUAAAUUUCUCCAUUUGCCACACUACUGCCUUGCAAAUACUCGCUGGUCUGUCUCUCUCACUGGACUCGAUGCUCCUUGAGAGUAGAGACAAGCGACGCACAUUUUACCUCCAGAAUCUAGCUCACUGCCUAGCAUGCAAGAGGCAUCACACACUCAAUCUCUCUCUCAAAACAAAAAAACAAAAGACAAAACUAAAAAAAAACCUUUAAAAAUUAAAAAAAAGCAACUCAUUAAAAAACAAACAAAAAACUCUGCAUGUUGAAUUAGUCAAGUUUGAGGAUGCAAACAAGUAAAUUCUUUGCAACCUAAAAAUGCUAGUUUGAAAUGAGAGAGGUCGGUUGAGGUGAAAGCUGAGGAGCAAAUGAGAAGAGAGAUUUAAGGAAGGAGACACUCAAAGAGGCAAAUAAUACCAACAUUUUAUGGCCUCAAACAUGAAACAGGGAAAACCAGCUCUCAUUUAAAUGUUUUUAUUUAUUUUUGAGAGGGUGGAGGGGCAAAGCGGGGGCAGGAGAGAGAGAGAGAGAGAGAGAGAGAGAGAGAGAGAGAGAGAGAGAGAGAGAAGAUCCAAAACAAGCUCUGUGCUGUCAGCAGAGAGCCCGAUGUGGGGGCUCAAACUCAUGAACCGUGAGAUCAUGACCUGAGCCGAAGGUGGAUGCUUAACUGACUGAGCCAUCCAGGUGCCCCGGCUCUUAUAUAAAACAGCAGUAAAAUUUCUAUAUGUAGAGAACGGAGCAGAAAUUGGCAAAUUCAGAUGGUGACACUAAGAAGCUGUGGAAAAGAAAUAAGUCCAUGGGACUUUUCAUUAACAUUUAGUAUCUCACCUUGUUAAAAAGGCUAAGGGGUUGCUUUAAAACAAGGAUCUGAAGUAUUUGGCAGAGAGUUAUAUAAUGUCUAGACAACGGAGAUACUUGUAUCUAAUCUUAUGACAACAAUCCUACUUAUUAACAGGUCCAGACACAGUGCCAUAUGAGACCGAGUUAGAAGGAAAUGAAGAUUAGUGAUUAGUCCGUUACAUUUCUUUAAUAACAUGAAAAAAAGUAUGGAUAAAAAAGUGGGGUAAAGUUUACAAGCUAUGAUAAAUAAUUCCAGUAUGUUUAGUCUAAUUUUAUUUGCACGGCCUAUGCUAUAAAUAAUUUUGUCUGAUUUACCUUAAGAAUGUACUGAAAGUCCAAUUUGACAAGAGAAAGCUACCAGAGACUUAAAGAGGAAGUUGUUGUUGAAAGAAACUGAGGAUUAUCUUUUUUUCAAAAAGGUUAUUAUCUCUAGAGUAAGCAAUGGAAAUGUUUUGGAUAUUAUCUUCUUUGCUCAUCUCAAAGUAUAGGAUAAGAGCAUGGGGUUAAUGAUAAGUUAAAAAGUCAUAAAAAUAAGAAGAGAGUAGCUUUAAAGGAAUGACUUCUUGUGAUGGGCAGUAGUGGUUAAAAAGAGAACUACAGGGGCGCCUGGGUGGCUCAGUCAGUUGAGUGUCCGACUUGGGCUCAGGUCAUGAUCUCGUGGUCUGUGAGUUCAAGCCCCGCGUCAGGCUCUGUGCUGACAGCUCGAAGCCUGGAGCCUGCUUCGGAUUCUGUGUCUAUCUCUCUCUGCCCCUCCCCCGCUCAUGCUCUGUCUCUGUCAAAAAUAAAUAAACAAUAAAUAAAUAAAUAGAUAGAUAGAUAGAACCCUAAUAGUGACCAUUUCUUAUGCCACAUUAUGGAGAAGGCUUCAAUCACGGUGGCUAUGAGGAAUCAGAACUCCUUAAUCAGAGUUAAUUCUUUCAUUUUACAGUUCACCAAGAUAAACACACUAACGUGUUGAACACUGGCAUUAGAAACUUGGUUCAGGAGUUCCAAACUGGCCUCUUUUCGUAACAUAUUCAUGAGCACUGGAUACAACUAUAUACGUAGCUGUAUACUGUAAAAAAGGGAGGCAGGUGGGCUACAAAAAAAAAAAAAAAACCCAAAAAACCUUGACUUUUUUCCUGUUUAAAUAUAACCCCGUGUUCUUAAAUGUUUUGGAAUUUAUGUGAUUUUUGAGAACAUGGGAGAAAGAUCCUUAUCAGUCUGUCCAUGGAAUAUGAAAAAAUCAAAGAUAUUACCCAAGUGUUUUCCUUAGGUACCCACUGCACUAGUAAAUAAAGCAACCAACUCAUACCAUAAUAAGAAAACUCUUAACUGGGCCAUCAAAAAAGGUCAGUUAGCAGUAUUUAUUUUGGAAUUCCCCACAGUUUUAUCUUAUCAAUUUGUUUUUCCUUCCCUUUUUUAAAGCAGCCUGUUUAGUGAAAGUUAACGGAAUCAAGAUGGAGACACAACAAGACUGUAUCAAGAGGGAGACACA
Molecule: long non-coding RNA, 5261 nt
Organism: Leopardus geoffroyi (Geoffroy's cat)
Lineage: Eukaryota; Metazoa; Chordata; Mammalia; Carnivora; Felidae
Exons: 3
Source: RefSeq, a predicted model, not a curated record